AGAGCGAACGCUGGCGGCAGGCCUAACACAUGCAAGUCGAGCGCCCGUAGCAAUACGGGAGCGGCAGACGGGAUAGUAACACGUGGGAACGCGCCCUUCGGUUCGGAAUAACUCAGGGAAACUUGAGCUAAUACCGAAUACGCCCUUACGGGGAAAGAUUUAUUGCCGAAGGAACGGCCCGCGUCCGAUUAGCUAGUUGGUGAGGUAAUGGCUCACCAAGGCUACGAUCGGUAGCUGGUCUGAGAGGAUGACCAGCAUCACUGGGACUGAGACACGGCCCAGACUCCUACGGGAGGCAGCAGUGGGGAAUAUUGGACAAUGGGCGAAAGCCUGAUCCAGCCAUGCCGCGUGGAUGAUGAAGGCCUUAGGGUUGUAAAGUCCUUUUAACGGGGAAGAUAAUGACGGUACCCGUAGAAUAAGCCCCGGCUAACGUUCGUGCCAGCAGCCGC
RNAcentral lists this ribosomal RNA (449 nucleotides) under uncultured bacterium. RNAcentral describes it as "SSU rRNA". It matches the Rfam family "Bacterial small subunit ribosomal RNA", at positions 26 to 518 of the family's 1533-position model. The record is from RNAcentral.